ACUAUUUUGACAGAAAAAUGUGUUGAAUUUAGAUUUCAUUAAUGUAGUUAAUCCUACAAAUAGUU
Molecule: transfer RNA, 65 nt
Filed under: Chrotogonus sp. TAMUIC IGC OR284
Lineage: Eukaryota; Metazoa; Arthropoda; Insecta; Orthoptera; Pyrgomorphidae
Description: tRNA-Leu
Source: RNAcentral